This is a non-coding RNA of Danio rerio (zebrafish), 106 nucleotides long. NCBI's taxonomy places the organism in Eukaryota, Metazoa, Chordata, Actinopteri, Cypriniformes, Danionidae. The record is from RefSeq and is a predicted model, not a curated record.
AUCCAAACUACACACUGGACACACUCAACAUGGAUCAUGGCGGAGAGAUCAGGAUUAAAGCCGGACCACAAAAGUGGGCCUGUUUCCUAACACUGGAUCCAAACAC